Molecule: long non-coding RNA, 1516 nt
Organism: Leopardus geoffroyi (Geoffroy's cat)
Lineage: Eukaryota; Metazoa; Chordata; Mammalia; Carnivora; Felidae
Exons: 3
Source: RefSeq, a predicted model, not a curated record
GGACCUCUAGGGUUUUCCAGCUUCAGCCUCAAUCAGAAGUUCAAGGCCAUGUACAAAAUCACUGCCCAGUGACACGUCGUGUUCUGCUUGAAUUCCUCCGGGGACAUGGGGCUUACAGCCCUCUGACAGACCUGCUCUUUGAACCUUGCCCCAGGAAAAAACAUGAAAAGAAGUGAGGAUCUUUAAGCUGGAAAACAGAAAUUCCUGGGACCCUAAGGCACCCACUGUCUGGGAAGCAGGUUUGGGAGCAACAUGACAAGAACUUUAACAUGAGACUGAACUCAUUUCAGCUUGGCCCACUCUUGAAUUCUCCGUAGAUCAAAGCAGCUUAACCAAGAAUGUCAGAAAGCAAGCAUUUUCUGAAUUAACAAGAACCACCACCACAAUCUUUCAAGAAGAAGAAGAAGAAGAAGAAGGAGGAGGAGGAGGAGGAGGAGGAGGAAGAACACCAGAGGAAAUAUAAAAGAGAUUUCAACCAGACGACUCUCACCUAAAAAGUUCUUGUAAAAAUAGGUAGAUCGUGUAUCUGUCCCACAUUGCCUGGGUCUCUAAAGCCCAGAUAACAAAAAUCAGUUCAAAUCCUUUUUUUUUUUCUUCUUCUAAAAUAAGAAUUUAUGGAAUGCUGUUGCCUUUUAGAGGCUGGGAAAGUGGGAAACACCGUGAAGCUGAGCUUUGGCGUGAUAACCACCGCCACCGCCGGGUGUCACACACCAAGGCGAGGCGCUGUGCCAACCGCGGCAGACACGUUACUUAAUUUCACCCCCUUGGAGCCCUGUGAAACAGAUAUCAUCGUCCCAUUUCGCAGGCCCCAGAGAACGUAUUUCAUGACCCAGGAGUCAAACUCGAUUCUUUCAAACUGCAAAGUCUUGACGCUUAGCCCCUGCACUCCCCCUGCCUCAUGCUGUAUUUCAGGUACCCGCCAGAUCCAUUACCAUUCACUCCCAUCGCCUUUAGCAAGACUCCCAGAAUCAUUCCCAGCUCAGCUAAGGGCAGAAAACACAGAACUCGUGGAGUGCUUGUCGCUUAAUGUCUUGAAGGCAAUACCAGUGCGAUCUAGAUCAGGACUUCUCAACCUCAACAUUACGCAUGCUUUGCCUGGAAUAAUUCUUGGUGGUGGUGGGGGGGGGGCUGUCCUGUGUGUGGUACGAUGCUUAGUAGCAUCUCUGUCCUCUGCCCACUAGAAUCCAGCAACAUCCCUUCCCGCCACCCGUCGUGGCAACAAGAGUAUCUCCGGACAGGGCCAAGUGUCCACUGGGUGGAAGACACUGCCCUCAUUUGGAACCACCCAUCUAGACAUCCAGACCGUCAGCGGGGACUCAACACCUCAUCCCUGCCCCACCAACUUUGCUCUCUAUGCUUUGCGUACUCCUACCUUGAAGCAACAGACCUGGCAAUCCCACAGCAGGAUGGGCAGGAAGAGAGUGGCUGUGAAGAACUCAGUAACAGGUGAUCUCUAGAAGUCAGGUAGGUUGGCAGCUGGCAUCGGGUUUCCGGAUUUUUCCACAUAGGCCAGUAU